This 301-nucleotide ribosomal RNA is filed under the name uncultured bacterium. RNAcentral describes it as "partial 16S ribosomal RNA". It matches the Rfam family "Bacterial small subunit ribosomal RNA", at positions 509 to 809 of the family's 1533-position model. The record is from RNAcentral.
CAGUCGCCGCGGGAAUACAGAGGGUGCGAGCGUUAAUCGGAUUUACUGGGCGUAAAGCGUGCGUAGGCGGCUUUUUAAGUCGGAUGUGAAAUCCCUGAGCUUAACUUAGGAAUUGCAUUCGAUACUGGGAAGCUAGAGUAUGGGAGAGGAUGGUAGAAUUCCAGGUGUAGCGGUGAAAUGCGUAGAGAUCUGGAGGAAUACCGAUGGCGAAGGCAGCCAUCUGGCCUAAUACUGACGCUGAGGUACGAAAGCAUGGGGAGCAAACAGGAUUAGAUACCCGCGUAGUCCCUGUCUCUUAUAA